AAGUACUUCCUGCAGAAUACUAUGAAACCAUCUGCUCUGAAGCAAACCAUUUCAAUCACUGCUUAAUGUUCAGAGUCAAUGAAAUAAACUGUGAAGCAGAAAAUAAAAUAAGUAGUAAGCAACAAACAAUUUUCACAGUAGAACUGGAAUGAUCCAAAACAUUUAAUUCAACAUUCCUCCUAACCAAUUGUGGAAAAUUAUGCAGCUUUGUGUAUUUAUUUUGGCCAUGGUAAACAAUAUUCUCUUGUGCUUAUGAAAAAAAUACUUUUUCCAAGAAGGUAGUGUGCAAAAUCAACAGUGAUUGAUUUGGGCUACAUUAAAGAUGUGGGAGGCAAAAAGGUACCUUUGUCUCCUCAGCUGGAUGACCCAGGACCUCAAGUGACUAGAGCUAGAUGCUGAGCGGACACAGGCUCACAUGCAGCCUAUAGCCAGUCUACCCACACUGUAGACCUUCCUGAGCACCUGAGGCAGAACUAGUUUCCAACAUCGACUGUAAAGAGGGCUUAUGUUCUUUUCUGGUUCCUAGGCCUUAUGCAAAUUCCAGGGUGGCCCUGAGCAUGAUCUGAGACAAUUAUGAAGUUAU
This 583-nucleotide long non-coding RNA is filed under the name Marmota monax (woodchuck). Lineage: Eukaryota; Metazoa; Chordata; Mammalia; Rodentia; Sciuridae. The record is from RNAcentral.